AUUCUGGCUCAGGACUGAACGCUAGCGGCAGGCUUAACACAUGCAAGUCGAGGGGCAUCGGGAGUAGCAAGUACUGCCGGCGACCGGCGCAAGGGUGCGUAACGCGUGAGCAACAUGCCCGUAUCAGGGGGAUAAUCCGAUGGAAACGUGGUCUAAUACCCCAUAGUAAUUAUGUAAGGCAUCUUAUAUAAUUUAAAGCUUUGGUGGAUACGGAUUGGCUCGCGUGACAUUAGCUGGAUGGUAAGGUAACGGCUUACCAGUGGCUACGAUGUCUAGGGGUUCUGAGAGGAAGGUCCCCCCACACUGGAACUGAGACACGGUCCAGACUCCUACGGGAGGCAGCAGUGAGGAAUAUUGGACAAUGGAUGGAAAUCUGAUCCAGCCAUGCCGCGUGCAAGGAAGACGGCCCUAUGGGUUGUAAACUGCUUUUGUAUGGGAGCAAUAAGGGCUACGUGUAGUCCGAUGAGAGUACCAUACGAAUAAGCACCGGCUAACUCCGUGCCAGCAGCGGC
RNAcentral lists this ribosomal RNA (512 nucleotides) under uncultured bacterium. RNAcentral's name for it is "bacterial SSU rRNA". It matches the Rfam family "Bacterial small subunit ribosomal RNA", at positions 16 to 518 of the family's 1533-position model. The record is from RNAcentral.